Molecule: ribosomal RNA, 402 nt
Filed under: uncultured bacterium
Lineage: Bacteria
Description: bacterial SSU rRNA
Rfam family: Bacterial small subunit ribosomal RNA
Source: RNAcentral
UAGGGAAUAUUGGUAAUGUGCGAAAGCGCGAACCAGCAACGCCGCGUGAACGAUGAAGGCCUUCGGGUCGUAAAGUGCUUUUAGAGAGGAUGAGGAAGGACAGUACUUUCUGAAUGAGCCUCGGCUAACUACGUGCCAGCAGCCGCGGUAAAACGUAGGAGGCUAGCGUUAUCCGGAUUUACUGGGCGUAAAGCGCAUGCAGGUGGUUUUGUAAGUUGGAUGUGAAAGCUCCUGGCUUAACUGGGAGAGGUCGUUCAAAACUACAAGACUUGAGAUUGGUAGAGGAAAAUGGAAUUCCGGGUGUAGUGGUGAAAUGCGUAGAUAUCCGGAGGAACACCAGUGGCGAAAGCGGUUUUCUGGACCAAUUCUGACACUCAGAUGCGAAAGCUAAGGUAGCAAACG